CCUACGGGAGGCAGCAGUAGGGAAUCUUUCACAAUGGGCGAAAGCCUGAUGGAGCAACGCCGCGUGCAGGAUGAAGGCCUUCGGGUUGUAAACUGCUUUUAUAAGCGAGAAAUAUGAUGGUAACUUAUGAAUAAGGAUCGGCUAACUACGUGCCAGCAGCCGCGGUCAUACGUAGGAUCCGAGCAUUAUCCGGGGUGACUGGGUGUAAAGAGUUGCGUAGGUGGCAUAAUAAGUAGCUAGUGAAAUCUGGUGGCUCAACCAUUCAGACUAUUAGCUAAACUGUUAAGCUCGAGACCGUUAGGGGUAACUGGAAGUUCUAGUGUAGGAGUGAAAUCCGUAGAUAUUAGAAGGAACACCAAUAGCGUAGGCAGGUUGCUGGGACGGUUCUGACACUAAGGCACGAAAGCGUAGGGAGCAAACGGGAUUAGAUACCCCUGUAGUC
Molecule: ribosomal RNA, 442 nt
Filed under: uncultured bacterium
Lineage: Bacteria
Description: partial 16S ribosomal RNA
Rfam family: Bacterial small subunit ribosomal RNA
Source: RNAcentral